AUGGCAGAGAUCGUGAUUCUUCUAGCCAUUAAAAAGAUCGGAAAUGCCUUGGCAAAUGGAGCGGCAGACCAGACCAGCACUCAGUUUGCGAAGUACCGCAUGCAACUAAAGGAGUUACAGGGCAACAUGGGUCGCGCUGCGAGAGAGCUUCGUGUAAUGCAUGAUGUUCUUUAUCAAAUGGACAUUCGAAACUGUGAUGAUCAAGUAUACGAGGGCUGGUUGGAGGAGGUAAGGAAGGUAGCACAUGUGAUGGAGGACAUGGUGGAUGAGUACUUAUAUCUAGUUGGCCGGGAACAGGAUACAAGGUGUUGCUUUUACCUGAAGAAAGGGUUCAGAAAACCAAGAUCUCUGCUUUCUUUGAAUCAAAUAGCUUUCAAGGUGAAGGAAAUAGAGCAAGACCUUGCACACCUAUCAGAGACCAAAAAAAGAUGGGUUCCGAUGAUAAACAACGGGGAUACUAGCAGUUCAAAAUACAUCGUCAAGAGAUCCCUAGAUCUAGCAAAUAUUUCACGUUCCCUUGACGAAGAAGAUCUAGUGGGGGUGAAUAAAAGCAGAGAAAAGCUAGAGCAGUGGUUGGCAUGUGAUGAUUUGGAAUGCUCUGUCAUAGCCUUGCUUGGAAUGGGAGGGCUUGGUAAAACAUCUCUAGCUGCAAAUGUCUACAGGAAGGAGAGAGAUAAAUUCCAGUGCCAUGCAUGGGUCUCCAUCUCACAAAAUUAUUCAAGAGAAGAUGUCUUGAGGAAUAUAAUCAAGGAACUUUUUAGAGAUAAAGUCAAUGUCGUAUCUAAUACUGCGACCAUGGACAUCACAUGCCUUGAAGUGACACUGAAGAGAUUUUUGGAGCAACAGAGGUAUCUGAUCAUAUUGGAUGACGUUUGGACUCCAGAAGCAUUUGAUGACUUGUCUAGGGUGCUUAUUCAUAAUGACAAGGGUAGUAGAUUGAUAAUCACAACAAGGGAAGGCGAUGUUGCUGCACUUGCCUCCCGAGGACAUAUCUUAACACUAGAAGCUUUACCAGAAGAACUAGCUUGGGAUCUCUUUUGUAAGAAAGCCUAUCCAAGAGAUACAAAUCAUGAAUGUCCUGCAGAGUUGAAGCCAUUGUCCAGGGAAAUAGUUAACAAGUGCAAAGGCUUGCCUCUGGUUAUUGUGUCAGUUGGUAGCCUAUUGCGUGUGCGUGAGAAAACUAUAGAUGAAUGGAGAAGGAUAAAUGACCAAUUGAGCUGGGAGUUAAUUAAUAAUUCGAGGCUUGGUCACAUAAGGAAUGUUUUGCAUUUGAGCUUCAUCUACCUUCCAACACACUUGAAAAGUUGUUUCCUGUAUUGCAGCUUAUUUCCAGAAGACUAUCUUUUCAAACGGAAAAGGCUUGUACGGUUAUGGAUAGCAGAGGGGUUCAUCGAGGAGAGGGGUGAAAGCACUCUAGAAGAAGUGGCCGAAGGCUAUCUGAAGGAAUUGAUUGAUAGAAAUAUGAUACAACUUGUUGAGAGAAACUCAUUUGGCAGGAUAAAAGAAUUCAGAAUGCACGAUAUCUUACGUGAAUUGGCAGUUCAUCUAUGCCAGAAGGACUGCUUUGGUGUUACAUAUGAGGAUAAAUGUGGGAAAUCUCUUGAGAUGGAUGUACGUCGGCGGGUACUGCAUAAAGUAACGAAGGAUAUUUAUCAGACAUUAUCUGGUAUGCACCGAUUUAGAACUGUCAUUACAGUGGACAACAGCAUGCCAACGUUCACUAUACUACCUCUGCUUUGUAACAAGUCAAGAUAUAUGACAAUGUUAGAAUUUAGUGGUCUACCCAUUGAGAAGAUCCCAGAUGCUAUCGGAGAUCUUUUCAAUCUCCGCCAUUUGGGUCUACGAAAUUCAAAAGUGAAGAUGCUUCCAAUGUCUGUUGACAAGCUUUCAAAUCUGUUGACACUGGACCUUGCUAGAUCUGACAUACAUGAGGUGCCUAGUGGGAUUGUGAAAUUGAAGAAGCUUAGGCACUUAUUUGUCGAGAAAAAAAUUGAUCCAAAUUGGAGAGCAUUUAAGUGUUCCAGUGGUGUGCAUAUCGCCAGUGGUCUUGGAAAUCUGACAAACCUGCAGAUGCUCCGAGCAUUGGAAGCACAUGACGGAUCUAUUAGACAUUUAGGUGAGCUGAGGCAACUGAGAAGCUUGAGGUUGUGGAAUGUGAAGGGACUCUACUGUGGGCGCAUUAGGGACUCUCUAGUUCAGAUGCGGUAUUUGUCCAACCUUUCUGUGAGCGCAAGUGAUGAGAAUGAGGUUCUCUUGUUGAAUAUCCUGCCAAACCUACGAAAGCUAGUUUUGAGAGGACGACUGGCGGAAGGGGCGUUGAAUGAGUCUCUUCUCUUCCAACCUGUUGGGGAGCACAACUUGUAUAGACUGUCUCUAUCUUGGUCACAACUGAGGGGAGACCCUUUGCCAUCGCUUUCUCGGUUGUCUAAUUUGACGCAAAUACAUUUCACCAGAGCAUACAACGAAGAGCAUCUAGCAUUUCUCACGGGGUGGUUUCCCAAGCUGAAGACUCUUCAGUUGAGAGACCUGCCUAAUCUGAAGCAGCUAGAGAUACAACAAGGUGCCAUGGCAAGCCUGGAAAGAUUAUUCUUAAUCAACCUCAACAGCAUGAUGGAUGUCCCACCUGGCAUUGAGUUCCUCAUGCCCCUCCAGCGUCUCGGCUUCCACGAAAUCACAAGUGAUUUCUUGCUGCUGUUGCGCCAAUGUUCUGCAAUUCAAGGGACACAGUGGCAGCAUUCUCUCCGAGAAUGA
This 2751-nucleotide ribosomal RNA is filed under the name Triticum aestivum (bread wheat). RNAcentral describes it as "partial small subunit ribosomal RNA". The record is from RNAcentral. Lineage: Eukaryota; Viridiplantae; Streptophyta; Magnoliopsida; Poales; Poaceae.